GCCUCGUUAAAUAAAGUUGUAAAAAUUUUAUUUGUUAGAAAUUUCAACAAAUCUAAACAAAAAUCGGCAUUCAAAAAUACCGAUUUCCGAUUGUUAUGAAAACUUGAAAUCGGCCAUUCCGAUUAAUCGGUCGACCUCUAGUAUGUUCUCACUAAUGUACUCAUAUUUGAUCAAUAUUAUGUUAUUGUUCUGGACCUGUUAGUUGUUUAGCACCCCCUAGUGGCAGUUUAUGUGCAGCAGGGUGGAAUUGAACUGCUUGUGUCAUGUGACAGGAAGCAGUUUCUGAAGUGAAGCAAUGUUUGACAGAGUAGUUAUAAUCCUUCAACAUCCUUCUAUAUAAGCUUUGUAAUACACCAUGUCUGAUAUCUUGGACUUGUUGGAUGGAGGAAACAUAGUCAGCCAUAGAUGUGAAUAUCCUAACCCUUCAGCUACACUACAUGCGUCGCCAUCAGCAGUGUCCAUGUGACGUUCUACCUGCUACACCAGAACCCAACCAAAUAAACAUUUCACUUCAAGAUAGAAAUAAGGUUUUGUGUCAGCCAUUGAGAAUUGACCCUCUGUAGCAGAGCAGUAUGGAUGCAUUGUGGUUAUACCGGCUCUGAUGACCUAGUAGGAGAUGAAAGGUGGGAACCAGGAACAGCACAUAACAGUUUGUGGCCUGGAGGUGAGGGACCUGGCAACAGAGUUGUUAUUCCAAGCUGCUGUGUGUGGAAAGUACUGGCCUCCCGUGAUCCACUUCAGCAAAUUUGAGGCUUUAUUCCUGGGAGCUGGUAGCUAGCUGUACAUGUCCUGCCUUGUGUGUGUGUGUGUUUCAUUUAAGUUCUACAAGUGUUCAGUUGUCAUUGUAAUUGUCCCAUUUCUUUUUAGAAAUCAGUCACAUUUUUGUUUUUAAUUGUGAAUUCAAAUGUAAAUGUGGAUUUUUACAUAACAGAUUUGUGGUCAUUUUAUCAUGCAGUAAGUAGUCCAAGUUAUCUAUGGUUCUGUUACACUGACAGUGUUGAUGGUGAUUGGAAAGAAAAAGUAAUAUUACUCAAAUAAAUUGAAAUCCUUA
Long non-coding RNA from Oncorhynchus gorbuscha (pink salmon), 1051 nucleotides. RefSeq lists it as uncharacterized. The transcript is spliced from 2 exons. The record is from RefSeq and is a predicted model, not a curated record. NCBI's taxonomy places the organism in Eukaryota, Metazoa, Chordata, Actinopteri, Salmoniformes, Salmonidae.